UGACAUGUUCCCGACAGCCGUAGAGAUACGGUCUCCCUUCGGGGCGGGUUCACAGGUGGUGCAUGGUCGUCGUCAGCUCGUGUCGUGAGAUGUUGGGUUAAGUCCCGCAACGAGCGCAACCCUCGCCCUGUGUUGCCAGCACGUCGUGGUGGGAACUCACGGGGGACCGCCGGGGUCAACUCGGAGGAAGGUGGGGAUGACGUCAGAUCAUCAUGCCCCUUACGUCCAGGGCUUCACGCAUGCUACAAUGGCCGGUACAACGGGAUGCGACACCGCGAGGUGGAGCGGAUCCCUUAAAACCGGUCUCACUUCGGAUUGGAGUCUGCAACCCGACUCCAUGAAGGCGGAGUCGCUAGUAAUCGCGGAUCAGCAACGCCGCGGUGAAUGCGUUCCCGGGUCUUGUACACACCG
RNAcentral lists this ribosomal RNA (411 nucleotides) under uncultured bacterium. Its description in RNAcentral is "bacterial SSU rRNA". It matches the Rfam family "Bacterial small subunit ribosomal RNA", at positions 982 to 1392 of the family's 1533-position model. The record is from RNAcentral.